Phoenix dactylifera (date palm) is the source of this 3772-nucleotide non-coding RNA. The record is from RefSeq and is a predicted model, not a curated record. Lineage: Eukaryota; Viridiplantae; Streptophyta; Magnoliopsida; Arecales; Arecaceae.
UUCUUCAUGAAUAUCUGGUCGUUGCCAUGACUCUUAGUUCGUGAUCUCGGAUCGGGGGCAUGACACCUAAUCACUAGGACCUUCUAAUUACUUCAAGAUAUUGUUUAGAGGAUCAAUUGGCUAGAACUUCCUCAUUGAAGAAAUAACUUUCCACUUGGAAAUCAAGACCAAUAAUAUAUAAUUAGUUUGUUUAACUUCUUCUAGGUUACCACUGGAAGAAAAGAAUCCGAUGCCAAGGUCAUUCUCUACCAAACAACACGUUAAAAUUCUUCUGUAGAAAUUUCCCCUGCAUAGUGUUCGAAUGUGUGAUCUGAUCCCUUGUAUCAUACUAGUACUGCUAGUUAUUCCUGCUUCAUAAUUUGCUAAACGGCUCCCAGAAGGAAUCAGAGACACAAUAAUGAAUCUCAAUCCAUUACUGAAGUAUACCUUUCCUUCGAAGAGUAUAUAGGCUUCGUUCUAUACCACCUAGAGGCUAUCCCUAAAAGAAGGUUGUAUUUAGAUAUUCUUUCCUCGACCAUUUCUCUGAGAGUGAUGUUAUGACGUGAGUACUUCCUCCAAUUUUCUAGCAAUAUCUUCUCUCAUCUUUCACUUAUGCCCGAUCAACAUCCUCCUUUUGUCCUAGAAAUCCCUCGAUGAUAUGGUUUCAUGCAGUGGUUACAUCUAAUUGAAUAUAUUCUCCAAGUUGAAUUUAUUCCAACAUCAUAAUAUGCCUUCAUCUUUUUGAGUUGGCGAACCAGCCCCAGCUAAUGAGGAUAUGUUCAAAUAAUUUCUGUCUUUUUGCACUCACUAGAAGAUCUAGAUGGUGAGCUUCUCAAUCUGUUGAAACCUAAAUUCCAUCCAGACAAACCAAGCGAGGAGUUUGAUGUAGAUCAGACCAAGUAUACUGCCAACAGGCUAUUAGGAAAUCAAUUAAUUGCAAAGCCUAAAUAUUGUGAACAAAUUCCUCCAUAUCAUGUUGAAAACUUAGGCUAUCAUUUAUUUGAUGCUGGCCUCAGUGCUAGAGUUACCUCAUUGCGCGCGCUCUCUCUCUCUCGCACUCUCUCCCAGCUCCCCUUCCCCCCGCUUCUUUCUUUCUUUCUUUUCGAGUACCCAUGGGAAACCGUCCUCGAGUUUACAAACCCGGCAAAAUAGGAGAAUGCACGAACAUUUCAAGUCACUCAUUUCGUCGAGCAUCAGACGUGCACUCGGGGACCAGUUCGGUUGCCAAAACUCGCUCCCAGUCGAGCCUCCGCGUGUGGUCGUUGAUCUCAUGUCCCUGGGAAUGGGAUCACCUGAGAGGACUAAUCCGAGCCUGGCAGUAGGAGCUUGAAGCUUUUCAUACGCUGGAGGAUUCAAAACAUCCGCUAAACCUUUUGACCACCAGUAUCCCUAUGAUCCAUCCUUUGGAUGAACUGAGAGGGAAAGGGAAAGAAAGAUUAUUGAAGAUCUGAAUCUCUUGUGGUGAAGUUGCUGGUGAACUCAAAUGAGUUGAAACCUACACCAUGAGAGGCUCCCCCAGUCUCAAUCCUCUAGAAGACGAGAUCAAUUUGAGGCUAGUAAGGAUGGUACAUAUGAUUUCAAAGGGUAAUGCGAUCUGUUGACGGUGACCGAAGAUAGGACACUUGUGCCAGCGGUGCUUUCCAUGCCCAUCCAAUGCUUUCAAAUACAGAGAGUUUUAUGCGAGGCAGUACUUGGACUUGGAGUGGACUACUAUCUAUCAGGGAGCUUCUCAGAGUAUCAACAGGAUAGGAUAAAUGAGACCUUACCAUGCUCCAUCUUUCAUCAAGAAAUUCGUUGAGUGCUACUGCAUUCUGUCCAUAGGUCAAGGGAGAGGCCCAGUAUCCCCAAAGCAGCCAUGGUUGGAUAUUGUCUGAUUGAAGAGACAAAUUUAGUCGGGAUGGAAAUGAACAACUAUACAGGUAUUAUUCAUCUGAGUAGAAGAAAUCAGAAUAACUAUCCAGGUAAUAUUCAUCCGAGUAGAAGAAAUACCUUUAUAUUCAUUAAGAUUCAAAUAACUAACUUGACAUCAUUUUCUGGUUGAAAUUAUGGUCAUUUGGUGGAAAUUAUGGCUUCAAAGGAAUGAUAAAAUCUUCAAUGGGAAGAGUAAGAAUUGGUUUCAGUUGUUCAUGAGAUGUAGUCCAGCUGGAAGAAUAGAGUUAUGUUUAUUCUGAGAAGUUUGAGUGUAAUGUUGGUCCAUUUGAGAAAAAUCUUAUAUCCUUUAGUAUCUCAGCUUCCUCUUUUAAAUGUUUAAUGUUUGCACUCAUUUCCUUUCUUUUUUCUUGGUAGAACAUUUUCUUUCACAUAAAAUAUAUCAAUGGAGAACCCAUAUUUUACUCUCAAAAAAUGAAAAAUAAAACUAACUUAAUAUCAGAAAGUAUGAAUUUCUUUGAAACAUUGAAGAAAAUAGCCAUUUGUUUUCAAUUAACUUGCAAUAUGCGCGUUUGUUUUUUCUUUCCUUUUUUUAUUGAUAUUUGAGCUUUACUGCUAUCUCAAAAAAAAGAGCUUUAUUUUGCUAGUACAAUAUUUUUCAGCUUGAUAACGCUUAGGUCCUAUAGCCAAACAACUAGCAUGGGUGAGCAUCCACAAGCCUAGACCAGGAACAAUGCCCAACCAAGCUACUUAUAAUAUGUUCAAUCGUGGAGCAUUUUCUUAACCACAUUACUAAAGCUCUGCUCUCCUGCACUACAUUUGUACCAUUAUUUUUAAAAUCGGACUAGACUGGCUGGUUCGACCUGUCGAACUGGGAACCGAUCGCCUGUCCAGUUCAAAGGAUAUAUAAAAGGUAGUCAAAACUCGGUCAAACCUAGGAAAAUUGGACAAACUGGUCAGUCUGGCUGGUCCAGUCCGGUUUGGCCCCUUUUUUUUUAAUAAAAAAAAUUCUUUUAGUCAUUGGGAAACCCUAAUUCUUCGAUGAUUAUUUGUACAAAUAUUGCACCAUAUUUUGGCACCAAUUGAUGAUUAUUUGAACUCUCUUCUUCCACUGAAUUCCGGGGUGAACUACUGUGGUGUUUUCUGAAGUGAAGUUGUAAUGAGAGAUUAGUUCGAAUGCAAUUGCAGAAGGUUUAGCUAGCACAGGUGGUUGAAGAUUUAUAUUGAAAGAUGUCAUUGUUUCUUUUUGCAAAUCCUAUCAGUUUUUCAUUAUUAUUCUUGUAGUUACCCACUGCGAUAUCCAUCUCGUAGCUUGCAUCCUCUUAAUUGGUCUGAUUCUACUUUCUGAAGUUCUUGCAUGAUAUUCCAGUAUAUGUGCUAAUGGACUUCUAUCUUGUGACAUUUUCAUGUACCUUAUAUCAGAUUAGUACCAUGUACUAUAUUUGCUGGGUUCCUACUACAGAAUCUAGACUCGAUAGACUAAUUUUAUGUUCAUCAUUUCUUAAUAAGUACCUUGCAUUAUCCUAUUAGAAAUGUUGAUCAUCAUUUCUUAGUAGGUGCUUAUUGUUCGAAGCUUUGUAUCGUUUUGCAUGGUUGUUAAAUGAAUGGGGCUGAAUGGAUAGAGACACAUGAGCUUCAAAAUAUAAUGCUCCUUAAUUGAUCAAGGCAUGCAGAUGAUACAAGUUUUGAAUCGUACAAACAUUAAUCACCAAAGUACUGCACCCUAAACUGCAUGUGACUAUGGUACUUGAAUUAUGGAUUGUUGGAUUAUGUAUGCGGACUUUGUUACGAUGAUGGUUGAUAGAUUUGCUAGGAUGAUGUAUUUGAAUAAUUGAAUUUGAAUCGUAUGUGUAACUUUGUUUGGAUGAUGUAUUUGCACAUGGAUUUGAACUCUGUAUGAGGACUUUGUUGGGAUCAUAAUUUA